CCGGGACUUAGUGCAGUCAGAAAAGAAGGAGAGCCCCAAAAUGUAAGAGGCUUAUUAUGGAAGUGACAAGAAUGACCUUCCCAAAAAUCAGCCUGUGAAAUUGCAUUGAUUCUCAGUAUGCAGAAAAUCAAACUAAUGAGUGCUAUUUUUAUUGUUGUUGUUGCAAAUAUUAAGGGUGUUCCAACCCACUCUUGCCCGUCCUCCCCAAAACCCAACAGUCACCAAAAUUCUUUCUAAGGAAAGCCCUCGAGAACAGAUCUAUCCAUAUGGGGAUGGGUCCAUCAAGCACACUAGCACAACUAAAUAACUGUCCCAAAAGUCCAUAUGUAAUUAUAAGAUGUUUACUAACCACUCAGAAGUGUCACUAUCAAUGUGAUGCUGAAAUGAAGGGAAUUAAGUUUCUUCAGUGUUCUUCGCUGCAAGUCUCUGUAUUCAAAUUUUGUAAUAAGUCUUUACUUCUGUGAUCUUAAUCUAAAAAUUCAGAACUGUCAUUAAUCACCACAGUAUCUGCAGAGAAAAUAUCUUUCAUCAUAGAGUAAUAACCUUAUUUUGCAUGUUUGCUUUCAUUUCGUAUCAGUUACAAAGACAAAGAAUCAGAUACCAGCAUUUGCUUCGUUCUUUGACUUUUCACUUUUUUUUAAUGAGUCAAAAAGGCCACUAAGAAAAGCCCACCCAGAUACGGGUAAACAAUAUAAACAAAUCAAAAUUGUAAGAUUAACUACAGCAACAACUUCUCAUGACAAUUGUAACAGAUUUUAACAGUUACUCUGGAUUUAUCUUCUAUCGGAAAACACCUGUAACACAUGUACAUUUGUUUUGUUGGCAGGGGAACCCCGAGUUUACAGACAUAAUGGAAGGAUCCUGUUGGAGAAAGACUGACAGACAUGGCCAGAACACAGCCACCAAGCAGAAGGUCAUUUCCAGGUCAAGCCUGUUCAAAGAACUCUGCACUGUACAGAAAUUAAAUUAG
Molecule: long non-coding RNA, 970 nt
Filed under: Anser brachyrhynchus (Pink-footed goose)
Lineage: Eukaryota; Metazoa; Chordata; Aves; Anseriformes; Anatidae
Description: lncRNA (ENSABRG00000006324.1)
Source: RNAcentral